RNAcentral lists this ribosomal RNA (440 nucleotides) under uncultured bacterium. Its description in RNAcentral is "partial 16S ribosomal RNA". It matches the Rfam family "Bacterial small subunit ribosomal RNA", at positions 338 to 795 of the family's 1533-position model. The record is from RNAcentral.
CCUACGGGAGGCUGCAGUGGGGGAUAUUGGACAAUGGGGGAAACCCUGAACCAGCGAUGCCGCGUGAGGGACGAAGGUUUUCGGAUUGUAAACCUCUGUGGAGGGGGACGAUAAUGACGGUACCCCUUUAGGAAGCCACUGCUAACUACGUGCCAGCAGCCGCGGUAAUACGUAGGUGGCGAGCGGUGUCCGGAAUUACUGGGUGUAAAGGGAGUGUAGGCGGGAUAGCAAGUCAGAAUGUAAAACUAUGGGCGUAACGCAUAGACUGCUUUUGAAACUGUUUUUCUUGAGUGAAGUAGAGGCAAGAGGAAUGCCUGGUGUAGCGGUGAAAUGCGUAGAUAUUAGGAGGAACACCAGUGGCGAAGGCGGCUUGCUGGGCUUUUACUGACGCUGAGGCUCGAAAGCGUGGGGAGCAAACAGGAUUAGAUACCCGAGUAGUC